This 399-nucleotide ribosomal RNA is filed under the name Triticum aestivum (bread wheat). RNAcentral describes it as "partial small subunit ribosomal RNA". Lineage: Eukaryota; Viridiplantae; Streptophyta; Magnoliopsida; Poales; Poaceae. The record is from RNAcentral.
AUGGCCUGGGCUGCCUGGGGCCCAAAUCCGCCCGAGAACGACGGGGAUGCGGAUGGGAACGCGAUUCCUGAGAAGAAUCCUCAGCAGGUUGAGGUUGUACCUGUGCAGAACACCGAUGAAGCAAAUGAUAGUGCCCUCGCAGAACUUCAUGCAUUGUGUCACGUCCUUGGAAUUAACUACAACAGGAAGCUACUGGAAUUCGGAACAACGAUUGACAUUGAAAGGGUAUUUGAAUCUAUUGAGUUCCUGGAGAAAACCAAAUCUGAGAAUUUCACUGAGCUCCAGGGAAUUGCUAAAGAGAUGAUGAAGGCUUGGCAAGCCGCCAAUACACCUUUUAAAAGAUGUCCAGUUUUGCUUGGAUAUUGGCUGUCCGUGAUGCUCCCGGUCCUGAUUCUGUGA